ACUCAAAGGAAUUGACGGGGACCCGCACAAGCGGUGGAACAUGUGGUUUAAUUCGAGGCAACGCGAAGAACCUUACCAGGAUUUGACAUGCCCUCUAUGGGGACCCGAAAGGGACCCCUUCACUUCGGGUGGGAGGUGCACAGGUGCUGCAUGGCUGUCGUCAGCUCGUGUCGUGAGAUGUUGGGUUAAGUCCCGCAACGAGCGCAACCCUCAUCCUCUGUUGCUAACAGGUAAUGCUGAGAACUCUGAGGAAACUGCCGGUGAUAAGCCGGAGGAAGGUGGGGAUGACGUCAAGUCCUCAUGGCCCUUACAUCCUGGGCUACACACGUGUUACAAUGGUGGUGACAAUGGGCUGCUAACCCGCGAGGGUACGCGAAUCCCAAAAAGCCACCUCAGUUCGGAUUGCACUCUGCAACUCGAGUGCAUGAAGCUGGAAUCGCUAGUAAUCGUAGAUCAGCACGCUACGGUGAAUACGUUCCCGGGUCUUGUACACACCGCCCGU
RNAcentral lists this ribosomal RNA (502 nucleotides) under uncultured bacterium. RNAcentral describes it as "partial 16S ribosomal RNA". It matches the Rfam family "Bacterial small subunit ribosomal RNA", at positions 899 to 1397 of the family's 1533-position model. The record is from RNAcentral.